GCAAAUCCUAUAUAGAAAGUAAGUUCCGUGAGUUGAAGUUGAAGCAUAGAUGUUAUGGAAAUUUAGAUAAAUAUCAACACAUUUUAUAAUAUUUUCAGAGAGCUUAAUAUUAUUGCAACAACAAAGAAGGCUGUAUUUGGAAAUCGGGUUGGGAUUUGAGUUAAAGCUUCAAAAUAUGUGAAAAAGCUUAUACAACAAAUCAUCUUACAGAUCGCCUACAUUUACAUUUACAUGCAAUGAUAAAAGAAUUCUCUCUAGGCCCCCUAUGAGGAUAUUCUCUCCUAUCAAAAUAAAUGCAUUGAGUUCAUAAAUUCAGUAAGCCAUGAUGUUUUAAAAAUAUUUGGGUGAUGUAAAUUGCUCUUGUACACUGUAGGAGAUGUACUUUUAUUUAUAUUACUGACUUUACAGAGAUUUUAUUUGUACUACCGGCUUCUGCAAUUACAAUGGAUUUCCAGAAUUAAUGAAGUGCCAGCAUGAGCUCAGAAACUUUCUGUCACCCAUUUCAGAACAGAUAUCACCCAGAAAUUAAAGUGAACUUCUCCAGGCAUAUACAUCUGUGAAGCCAUAACAGACUAAAAAAAUCAAUAUUGAAAUCUAUAUGGGCUUUUACUAAAGAUUAAACUAAACAUGUACUUAAAACAUUUUAAUGCAAACAUAAUUGUAAGUGCUUCUUGGUCAACAAAGAAUUCUCAGUUUGACAUAAUAGUUCUUUCUGCAAUUUCUGUUUUUUUUUUCUUUUUUAAACAGAGGUACAAGGUAUAUGAAAUAUGAAGGGCAGAAAGUAUAUAACUCAAUGUGAUAUGCCAUCACUUUCUAGAUAAUUCCGAACAUUUUAAAAGGCUUUACUGUGCCCCUUUUCAGUCAUAGGCCCCAGAUAUAACAACUAUUUCUGACUUCUGACUUCUAGUAUUAUAGAUCAGUUUUGCCUAUUCUUUCAUCCCUUAAAAAUAGAAUCAUACAGAAUAAUCUUUGUGUUGGCUUUUUUCACUCAUCAGUAUGACUGACUUUCAUGUACUAUUUGCAUUUAGCAGUAAUUAUUCUUUUUUGUUGAUGCACAAUGUUCAGUUAUAUGAGUAUACCACAAUUUAUGCAACCA
This 1096-nucleotide long non-coding RNA is filed under the name Homo sapiens (human). RNAcentral describes it as "HSALNT0127965". The record is from RNAcentral. Lineage: Eukaryota; Metazoa; Chordata; Mammalia; Primates; Hominidae.